RNAcentral lists this long non-coding RNA (998 nucleotides) under Coturnix japonica (Japanese quail). Its description in RNAcentral is "lncRNA (ENSCJPG00005011782.1)". The record is from RNAcentral. Lineage: Eukaryota; Metazoa; Chordata; Aves; Galliformes; Phasianidae.
CUUUUAAAAUGUGGAUGUGCAAAACUGAAAGACUAAACUCUCUGCCUGAACAUUCAGGGUGUAGGAGGAAAUGUAGCUCAUCACAUGACCUUGUAGGACCUUGGCCUGUUUAGCUGUUACAUAAAGGAUAUAUUUAUUUCUUGCUCUUGUUCAGUGUAGGCUUCUGUACAUAUGCCGGUUGUUUCAGUACUGGUCUUUGUUACUGUUUAUUCUAUUUAUGAAACUGAUAUGUCAUAUCUGACAGUCAAGUUUAGGACGGAAAUUUUCUGGGGUUCUUAAGGACCAGUUUGUAAUUCCAUCACUUUACAGAGAUAUGAGAGAAGCGCAUCUCAGAUUUGUUAUUUCCAUUUCGGUUUUUCAUCUAUAUAUAUAUAUACAUAUUAGUUUCCUUGCACAAUUUUUCCUUGCACAAUUAAUUUCCUUGCACAAUCAGAAGAACUGAGACAACGAAAAGUACAUUUCAUAUGGUGUUUCUUUGUAGCAAGAGAGUUUGGCUUUGAGCAUUACUUCUGCAAGCACUACAAUGGAAAAAACUUCUUGAAUCCUUUGCUUGAAGAAUUGCAACUACUGCCCAAGAACUUGCCAGUCAAGAUGAAAAACUUCUUCUAAUGGAAUCCAGCUUGAAAGCAACUCAAGAGCAGCUAAGUGAGCAAACAGCAGAAACAGUUCACCAAGAACAGAACAGUAGAAAAUCAGAGAGAGAGCUGAAUGAAGACCCUGAGAGAACGUAUUAUAGCAUCUGAAGAAGAAAUUAGUGGUUACAACACAAGAAUGUCCAGUCAUGGACUUCUGUAUGUCAUUGAACCAACUGGCUGUAUACUAUAUUACCAUGACAGAAAACAGUGCACUGGCAGCAGCUCGCAAACACACAGAAUCCAGAGGCCUUCCAAGUGUCACUAUAGCAAAGUUUACACAGCCUUUGGACAAUAAAGUGAGUGGAUAGGUUUCUACUGAUGUUAAGUCUUCCAGAUUAAAGGAAAGUACUGUGUACAUUUGGC